Molecule: non-coding RNA, 75 nt
Organism: Podarcis lilfordi (Lilford's wall lizard)
Lineage: Eukaryota; Metazoa; Chordata; Lepidosauria; Squamata; Lacertidae
Source: the annotation of a GenBank genome assembly
AUACGGUACAUGUAUACAUAUACAUGUAUACAUAUAUAUGUGUGUGUGUGUGUGUGUAUGUAUGUAUGUAUGUAU